GCUGUAGGUUCACACCUCUUUUCAGGUUUACAUCUGGACUGAGCUGCACAACCUGCGCCCCGUCAAAAUCUAGUCCUCACCGUACAUCCACAGCCCUACACAACGCAUUUACAGCUGGAAGAUGAAUUAUUGGCUCUCUGCGAUUCUUUUGCAGCAGUGUAAUAGUUAAAUCAGUGCCGAAUGCGUUAUUUGAUGUGGUGUGUGGUGCCUAAGCUUGAACAGUCCUCUACAGUGAGAAGAUGGCGUCGGACGGAGCGAAAGGGGAGCAGCCACCUCCGCUACAAACACUGGUAACCACUGGCCAUGGAAGCGUCGAGGCGAAAUGUGAGCUGAACAUCGACAACCUGAGCAAACCAGAGCUCCUGACCCUUCUGAGCAUCAUGGAGGGAGAACUUGAGGCCAGAGACCUGGUCAUUGAAGCUCUUAGGGCUCGAAGAAAAGAAGUAUUCCUGCAGGAGCGAUAUGGACAGUUCAGUCUGACGGACCCAUUCCUCGCCUUGCAGAGGGACUUUGAGUCAGGAACAGGACCAAAGGACCGUAGGCCUGUUAGCGCGAGCCCCAUCACUGUGCUGGAAGCUGUUAUGGCCCACUGCCGCAAAAUGCAGGAGAGGAUGUCUGCCCAGCUCUCAGCUGCUGAGAGCAGACAGAAAAGGCUUGAAAUGGAGAAACUGCAGCUGCAGAGCCUGGAGCAGGAACACAGGAAGCUGUCGGCUCAGCUGAAGGAUGAGCGAGAGAAAAACAAACACGUGGUGAUGUCACUGGUGCAUGAAUGCAAGCAGCUAGCCGCUCGUGUGGUUGAAGAGAACCAGCGUUUUGAGGAGCUCUCAUCCCGUACUGAGCAGGACAGCCGUUCUGUGGGACGACUGGAGGAAGAACUGGCAUCUGAGCGACGUCGUAGCCAACAGAUGGAAGCGGAGAUGGAGAAACAGCUGGCCGAGUUUGACACAGAACGAGAGCAGCUACGUGCCAGGCUUAGCCGCGAGGAGACGCGGGCUGCGGAGCUGCGGGCUGAAAGUGAGAAUCUCCGCCAGCAGGUGGAGCAGCUAAAAACUGAGCGAUGCAAAGAUGCCCCACCACUUCCUUCUGUCACCCCAGCAACUGCCCCAGUUAAACCCAAGACUAUGGCAUCCGUGGCUGUGGGCACUGAGGCAACCGUCUACAAGACUGCUUCCUCUCAGACAGAUGAAAAUGAAGCAGCUAAGAAGGUGCCACUCUCCAUCCCAGUCAAGCCUACAAGUUCUACCUAUGUUAGCAUGAACCUACCUAAGACUUCCAGUGCUGGACGGGGGUUACACCACGGGAGCUCUCAGGCAGAAAAUGGAGGAGAGGGCCAAACGCAUCCACAUGGCUCACAUUCACCUGGUGUGUCCGCUACCUUGCCGACUGGGGUCAGUCCCCGCGUCCAGGCGGCCCGUUACAAAUUCCAACCCUCUGCCUCAGAGCAGGACCAAAAUGGAACCGCAAACCAGAGUCCCCCUUCCCGCGACCUGUCCCCCACAAAUCGAGAUAACUUUGCAGCCAAACAGCAGGCUCGCCACACGGUCACACAGGUUCUCUCCCGCUUCACAAGCCCUCCAGCAGGGGGACCCCCUGCAGCCCUUCGGCCUGGUUUGCCACACUCCACAUCUGAGGGGGGACCCUUCGCAGGGCGUUUAGGCCACCCCCAGAUAGGCCUUAAAUCACCAACUGUGGCCCGCAUUGACAGGGGUAACCCACCCCCCAUCCCACCAAAAAAACCAGGACUGUCCCAGACACCAUCCCCUCCACACCCACCAAUCAAAGUAGUAGGUGAAGCCAGCAGGUCCCCAGGAACAGGACUGGGGGUGGGCCUUGCCAAAUCAACUGCCACCCCUCAGCUUCCUCCAAAGCCCUCCUUAGAUUUGGGCGGUACAGUCCCAGCCUUGACUGCGUCACAGGUGGGUGCUUCCUGUACUGGCUGGCCAUGGGGGCAGCAGCCGACAGCAGCAUGUGUGGAGUGUCCCCCUGUCACCACCUCCUCCACAGCUACCAUUGUCAUUAGUCCCUCCAUAAACCCACCUAGUCUUCCGUCCCAUAGUCCCCAGCACCCGGGCAGCACCCUGGCAGCAGCAUCAGGCUGGUGUCCCUCCAUAGUCCCCACGCUAACCUGCGGUGACCCCGUCCCCCUGGAUGACGGGCAAACCCUUCUCCUCCAAGCUGCUUCCCAGGGAAAUGUCACUUUAUUGUCUAUGCUGCUUAACCAAGAUCCACUAUUGGAUAUUCAUCAUCGUCAUCAUGAAUUAACCUCUGCCUUGAUCUCUGCUGCUCUUAAUGGACACACAGACUGCUUAAAUCUGCUGCUGACUUCAGGGGCAUCUGCUGAAGCUGCCGAUAAAACAGGAUUUACGCCGCUACAUGCCGCUGCUGAAAAUGGUCACCAUGGGUGUGUGAAAGCUCUUGUAAAAUGUGGAGCUGAUUUGGAGAAGGAGUGUUCGCAGGGAAGGACCCCUCUGUACCUGGCCUGCGAACAGGGACAUGUGGAGUGCGUGAAAGUCUUGCUAGAUGCAGGAGCAGACCGUUCACAUGUCACGACUGACAACUGCACCGCUCUGCACGCUGCAGUCAGUUCAGGUCAUGUGGGCCCUCUGAAGCUCCUGCUAUACCACCCAUCACCUGAACCAGACCUGGGUCUCCCUGCAUCUCCUUCAGACUCCAAUCAGGAGCUCCAACACCCUGGCAUAACCAAAGCCAGUCACAUCCUCAACCACAGUAACCAGGAUGGCUGGACUGCUGCCCAUAUUGCUGCAUCCAGGGGCUACAAGAAAUGCCUGGAGGUCUUGUGUAGCCACAGUCAACAGGACAUGGAGAAGAGGGACAAAUGCAAUCGCACCAUACAUGAUGUUGCCACAGAUGACUGCAAAGAUCUAUUAGAGAACCUGGAUUUGUACACAGUAGUUGUACAGGUGCUUAUGGGCUCACCGGAGCGUCUUUGCCCUGUGGAUCUCCUGGAGGAUGGAUGCACUGUUGGCAAAGUUACAAUUCAGCGCAAUAUUAGCUGGGAAGAGUUAACAGGAAGCUUGAGUUACCUGCUGACCAAUCACCUCCAGCUAAUUUGUGGGAGGUGGGAACUGCAGGAAGUUCUGGGUAGAGCGGACACUUUGGGCCUCUCUACUAACAGCAUGGCCUCUGUGAUUAUAGGUGAUGCUGUCUGGCUGCCGGGGCAGGAACUGGCCCAGUCUCCUUGGGACCUCAUUCGAAAACGCCUGAGUCAACGUAUUACCAUACAUCUUAAAGGCCUGUCAGAGUGCACUCUGGAUGAGAUGACGUACGACUCCCUGAUCCCUCUACAGCUGCUGCAGAACUAUGUCCGCCUGGUGGAACAGUACCAUAAUGUCAUCUUCCAUGGGCUGGAGGGCAGCUUUCAGGAGUACAUCGCCAACCAGAUCUCUCAUUAUAUCAAGUACAGACAGGAGGCCCAGGGGAUUGGCUGUGAUGUCGUCAGGGUGGAGAUAGAUGAGAGUCUAUCAAAAGAGCACCUGCUGGAGAUCUUCAUCAACUGUGGUUUCCUGGUGUCUUUGCAUGAAGGCAGCGCUGGGCGUUGUGUUGUGGCCAUUCUUGAGGGUCUGGAGAGAGCUCACUCUCUCAGCCACAUCCUGGGAGAUCUGUGCGAAGCCCUGGAGAACCGAGGAUCUGUCUAUUCCCUCUCCCUCAACCAUGGUCACAAUGGGCUUUACUAUUUCCGUGAAGGGAGUUUUUUGAUUGGCACUCUGGCUAAGCCUCGCCUGCAGGGUGCUGAGCUACGAUUACAGCAGCACUUCCGCUGGGUUCAGCUGCGCUGGGACAUCGAGCCCCUCAAUGGCAUGCUGGGACGUCAUCUCCGCAGAAAACUCCUCCACAAGACUCAGGGCCAGUGCUGGACAUCUGAUGAUCCCGUACACAAAGCGCUGUCUUGGGUGUGCUCAGUGUGGCACCAGCUCAAUGCCUGUCUGUCGCGUCUGGGGACCUCAGAGGCCUUGUUGGGACCCUAUAUCUUCCUUUCCUGCCCUGUGAAUCCAGAACAGACCCAGGCCAUUCCAAAGUGGUUAGUGAGGCUUUGGAAUGCAGUGAUAGUUCCACGGGUCGAGGACGCUGUUAUAUCUAGAGUAACAGCCAAGCGCUCUCCCUCCCAACGACGGUCUCCCAACAACAAAGGUCUGAGCCCAGGUCAGAGAGCGGUUGUCAAAGCAGCUCUCAAUAUUCUUCUGAGUAAGGCUGUGCUGCAAGGCUGCCCACUGUCCAGACCAGAGAUUGACAGGCUUUUACCAGAGUUCCAGGGAGGAUGUUUCCCUCUUUCCACCAUUGGCUCCGCCUACAGGAAAGGUGGCCGAAAAGGACGCGAUAAUGGCGCUUGGAGACGAGCCAAUACCAGUCCACGGAAGAAAGGGAGCCCCGCCUCUGGGAGGAGCUCUAGCUGUUCCUUAAGAGAGGGAUCUCUGGCCAAUUCAAGCACUCACCCAAUGACAAAUGUCAAUCAUGCAAGACUCAGUGACGGAGUUGCUGUGGGUCUGUCUCUCUGCUCUGAUGAUGAGACAGAUCUCAUCAGAGAACUCCAGACCAUGUGCUCCAGCAAAUCUGAGCCAGACAUAAGCAAGAUUGCUCUCUUUAAAGAGGACUUCAUCAUGCUUCCAGACUCCAGUCCGCCCACUCCUCAGAGGAGUGACGGUGAGGUCACGCAGCCCCAAACACUCCCUGUUACAACAGAGAGUGCCGUGGAUAUGACCCAUCCUCCACCACAGAAGUUCGUUGCAGGCUGUUCCCGGUGUCGUGUUCUCUGUGUGUUUCUUCCUGGUUUUUGGAUUCUGGACUUUCGUCGUGUGCCCUGUUUUCUGGGUUGGAUUAUCCUUGUUCUCUGAUACCCGCUGUAGCCCUGCGCCACCCAGUGCCUCGCCACUCUGCACGCCACAGCCUCUGCCUCGACUGACCCUUGGAGUGAAGUUAUUGUACAGCAUUUUCCUGUCAAUAAAUAUUGUUAUUCUUGCACUUGGAUCCUCUGUCUGUGUUCAUUCCCUGACAGAACGAACUGACCACUUAUGGAUCCAGCAAGGUCGUCGGAUCUUCAGGAGUAUUUGAGCAGGAGUGCUCAACGGAUGGAUCAUCAGGACGAGCAAGUGGUGGCCACUGCUCGUGCCGUUCAGGCGUUGGUGGCGCAGGUGGCUGAGUUAUCUACCCAGGUUCAACAUCUUUCAUCUCCCACUGCGCCAGCUCCACCGUCUGUUCCCCACCCAUCCGCCAACGUCAGCAGUCAACAAGAGCCGCGUAUUCCUGCACCAGAGAGGUAUGCUGGAGAACCAGAUGUUUGUAGAGCCUUUCUAACGAAGUGCUCUAUUUAUUUCUCUUUGCAACCUAACACGUUUUCUUCUGAGGAAUCUAAAGUCGCGUUGGUCAUGACGCUUCUGACGGGACGCGCAGCGUUGUGGGGAACAGCGGUGUGGGAGAACAAACAUCAGUGCUGCUCCUCAUUCCACACCCUGUCGCAGGAGAUGAGACGGGUCUUCGACCGUUCGGUGGCGGGACGGGAGGCCGCGCGCAAACUCGCGGAUCUGCGGCAGGGAAUCCAACCAGUGUCUGAUUACGCCAUCAAAUUCCGCACCCUGGCAGCGGAAUGCAAGUGGAACGAGGAGGCGCAGUGGGAUAUGUUCCUGCAUGGGUUGGCCGACCGUGUUCAGCAGGAGAUUUACCAGCUGGAUCUACCCACCAGUCUCGACGGUCUCAUUGAGCUCGCGCUGCGGGUGGACGCUCGCUUGCAAGAACGCGCGGCGCGUAAGAGGCCCGUAGCGCGCUUCGAGGAAAUGGAGGAGAGCGGUGCCAGCGGAGUUAACACGGUCGGUCCCCCGUUCGAUCCUGAACCCAUGCAGGUGGGUAGAGCUCGGCUCUCCCGGGAGGAGAGAUUACACCGGAGAGAGAUGGGACUGUGUUUGUACUGUGGAGGGGCGGGGCAUUUUCUUAGGGAGUGUCCCGUAAAAGGCAGAGCCCGACAGUAGUACCGAGGUUAUUGUCGGGUGGUCUUUCCUUGGAUAAAUCCUCAUCUGCGACACUCCUCCCGGUGAGACUACAGUGGGUAUCGGGGCAUCACACCUGCCAGGCUCUGGUCGACUCGGGGGCGGAGGGCAGCAUCAUGGACUAUGAUCUGGUCACGCGUUUGCACAUACCCAUUCACCCUUUGGAACAUGCCAUAACUGUCAUCGCCCUUAAUGGACAGAAGCUACCCACCAUCACACACGCCACGGAGCCCUUAACCGUCAUCACUUCCGUUCGUUGCAGGCUGUUCCCGGUGUCGUGUUCUCUGUGUGUUUCUUCCUGGUUUUUGGAUUCUGGACUUUCGUCGUGUGCCCUGUUUUCUGGGUUGGAUUAUCCUUGUUCUCUGAUACCCGCUGUAGCCCUGCGCCACCCAGUGCCUCGCCACUCUGCACGCCACAGCCUCUGCCUCGACUGACCCUUGGAGUGAAGUUAUUGUACAGCAUUUUCCUGUCAAUAAAUAUUGUUAUUCUUGCA
Ctenopharyngodon idella (grass carp) is the source of this 6489-nucleotide RNA transcript. It is a transcript of the gene named cortactin binding protein 2, with no coding region annotated. The transcript is spliced from 24 exons. Lineage: Eukaryota; Metazoa; Chordata; Actinopteri; Cypriniformes; Xenocyprididae. The record is from RefSeq and is a predicted model, not a curated record.